This 254-nucleotide ribosomal RNA is filed under the name uncultured bacterium. RNAcentral describes it as "partial 16S ribosomal RNA". It matches the Rfam family "Bacterial small subunit ribosomal RNA", at positions 524 to 776 of the family's 1533-position model. The record is from RNAcentral.
UACGAAGGGGGCUAGCGUUGCUCGGAAUCACUGGGCGUAAAGCGCACGUAGGCGGAUCUUUAAGUCAGGGGUGAAAUCCCAAGGCUCAACCUUGGAACUGCCUUUGAUACUGGGGAUCUCGAGUCCGGAAGAGGUUGGUGGAACUGCGAGUGUAGAGGUGAAAUUCGUAGAUAUUCGGAAAGAACACCAGUGGCGAAGGCGACUUACUGGACACAUAUUGACGCUGAGGUGCGAAAGCGUGGGGAGCAAACAGG